RNAcentral lists this ribosomal RNA (497 nucleotides) under uncultured bacterium. RNAcentral's name for it is "partial 16S ribosomal RNA". It matches the Rfam family "Bacterial small subunit ribosomal RNA", at positions 28 to 507 of the family's 1533-position model. The record is from RNAcentral.
GAUGAACGCUGGCGGCGUGCCUAAUACAUGCAAGUCGAGCGAACAGAUGAGGAGCUUGCUCCUCUGACGUUAGCGGCGGACGGGUGAGUAACACGUGGAUAACCUACCUAUAAGACUGGGAUAACUUCGGGAAACCGGAGCUAAUACCGGAUAAUAUAUUGAACCGCAUGGUUCAAUAGUGAAAGACGGUUUUGCUGUCACUUAUAGAUGGAUCCGCGCCGCAUUAGCUAGUUGGUAAGGUAACGGCUUACCAAGGCAACGAUGCGUAGCCGACCUGAGAGGGUGAUCGGCCACACUAGAACUUAGACACGGUCCAAACUCCUACGGGAGGCAGCAGUAGGGAAUCUUCCGCAAUGGGCGAAAGCCUGACGGAGCAACGCCGCGUGAGUGAUGAAGGUCUUCGGAUCGUAAAACUCUGUUAUUAGGGAAGAACAAAUGUGUAAGUAACUAUGCACGUCUUGACGGUACCUAAUCAGAAAGCCACGGCUAACUACGUG